GACCAAGAAGGCUAAGUUGUAUUAAUAAACGGUAAAAAGACAGUUAGAUAAUUUAAGAAGCUUACUUAAUAUUUGUUAAAAGGUAGAAUUUGAAUAUAAAUACAUAGUUUAAUUAUAGCUUUCGUAUUGAAGCUGUGAUAGCCUUGAGGGAAACUGGGAUUAGAUACCCCAUUAUUCUUGGUUGUAAAUAAAUAAGAUGUUUACCAGAGUACUAUGAAUUACAAAAAUUUAAAACUCAAAGGGCUUGGCGGUGUUUUAGACCUUUCAGGGGAACCUGUCUCAUAAUCGACAAUCCACGUUAGACCUGACCUUUUUUGUUAUGAGUUUGUAUACCGUCGUCGUCAGGUAACUUUUUAAAAACUAGAAGUUAGCAAGAAAACUGUGUUAGUUUUUACGUCAGAUCAAGGUGCAGCUGAUAAAAAGGUGAGGAUGGGUUACAAUUAUAAAAUUAUAAUACGAAGUAAUUACUUGAAAUACUAUUAUAAAGGAGGACUUGAAAGUAAAUUAAAAUACAUAAAUAUUUUGAAUAAGGCUCUGGAACGUGU
This 545-nucleotide ribosomal RNA is filed under the name Monstrotyphis imperialis. Its description in RNAcentral is "partial 12S ribosomal RNA". Lineage: Eukaryota; Metazoa; Mollusca; Gastropoda; Neogastropoda; Muricidae. The record is from RNAcentral.